This 224-nucleotide unclassified non-coding RNA is filed under the name uncultured Tomentella. RNAcentral's name for it is "sequence contains ITS2". The record is from RNAcentral. Lineage: Eukaryota; Fungi; Basidiomycota; Agaricomycetes; Thelephorales; Thelephoraceae.
AUACCUCAACUCUCAUGGCUUGCCAUGAUGAGCUUGGACUUUGGGGGUCUUGUUGGUCUGCGAGCCAGCUCCUCUUAAAUGAAUUAGCUUGCCGGUGUUUGGUGGCAUCACAGGUGUGAUAACUAUCUACGCUUGUGGUUUUCCAUCAGGUAACCAUAACCUUCAGUGGUGAGGGUUCGCUGGGGCUCAUAAAUGUCUCUCCUCAGCGAGGACACCUUUUGACC